Molecule: ribosomal RNA, 253 nt
Filed under: uncultured bacterium
Lineage: Bacteria
Description: partial 16S ribosomal RNA
Rfam family: Bacterial small subunit ribosomal RNA
Source: RNAcentral
UACGGAGGGGGCUAGCGUUGUUCGGAAUUACUGGGCGUAAAGGGCGCGUAGGCGGCCUUCUAAGUCGAACGUGAAAUCCCCGGGCUCAACCCGGGAACUGCGUCCGAUACUGGAAGGCUUGAAUCCGGGAGAGGGAUGUGGAGUUCCAGGUGUAGCGGUGAAAUGCGUAGAUAUCUGGAGGAACACCGGUGGCGAAGGCGACAUCCUGGACCGGUAUUGACGCUGAGGCGCGAAAGCCAGGGGAGCAAACGGG